RNAcentral lists this non-coding RNA (45 nucleotides) under Devosia epidermidihirudinis. RNAcentral describes it as "Guanidine-II sequence". It matches the Rfam family "Guanidine-II riboswitch aptamer (mini-ykkC)". From Rfam's summary of the family: Simpler in structure and has fewer highly conserved nucleotide positions than the ykkC-yxkD leader. Despite this each of its two stem-loop structures directly bind free guanidine. Therefore, mini-ykkC RNA motif represents a distinct class of guanidine-sensing RNAs. Lineage: Bacteria; Pseudomonadati; Pseudomonadota; Alphaproteobacteria; Hyphomicrobiales; Devosiaceae. The record is from Rfam by way of RNAcentral.
GCUUGGGGACGACCCCAGCUGCGGACAAAUUCGGGGACGACCCCA